Camellia sinensis is the source of this 459-nucleotide non-coding RNA. Lineage: Eukaryota; Viridiplantae; Streptophyta; Magnoliopsida; Ericales; Theaceae. The record is from RefSeq and is a predicted model, not a curated record.
ACUAAACAUGUGUAUUUUGAUGACAUCAUACACCUCAUCAAGGAAGAAUCAAUAACCAACAACGUGAUAGAUGCUUAUGGUGAAAUUCUACUUGAACUACAAGGGCUAGUCAACCCAAGUUUGGAAGAUUCAUCAUUCAUCUUUACAAGCACAUGUUUGAAAAUCAUUGAACAGUACCCCCCCCCACAAGAGGAAUAAACUAAUUGAUGUACACAUCAAGGAGUAUCAAGGCCAAAGAUUCUUAAUCUUCCCAAUACACGACAACUUUCACUGGACAAUUGUUGUGUACGACGUGAAAGAGAAUGUAUGGAGGCAUUAUAACUCACUGCGCCCAAGAGAAGGCAUACAUGACCCACAUAUUGACAAAGCACAAAUACUGAGGGACUACAUCACAGCUUUGGUGCACAACAUUGGACCGUCAUCACCAUUAUGGACCAAUUUAUCAAGCCAAAAUACUUC